Molecule: long non-coding RNA, 6114 nt
Organism: Brassica rapa (field mustard)
Lineage: Eukaryota; Viridiplantae; Streptophyta; Magnoliopsida; Brassicales; Brassicaceae
Source: RefSeq, a predicted model, not a curated record
UUAUGGGGUUCAAAUUCCAGAUCUGGUUGUCGAAGCCUUUAAACCUUGACUACUAGGCCACAGUGCUUCCAACAUUAUUACUUAGAAAAAUAAAAUUAGAGGAAUAGAUGUUUCAUCCCAUAUUUAACAAGGAAUAACUUUAUUUUUUAUUUCUCUACAAAAACAAAGGAAUAGUAGAGAAUGAACAGUAAAAUUAUUCCUUAUGAAUAGUGAUUUUUUUAAUGGAGGUUAGGGAAUGCAUUAUUUUUCGUCCUUUCUGGGUCACCACCAUUCAUAUCUUUUUUUUUCAGAAGUUGUCGAAAUAUAUUUUUCCAUUAAUGUUUUUGAAAAUUGCACUAAAAUUUAAACUAACACUAAAUUUAAGAUGAAAGGGUGGACAACUAAAAAAACUACCAAAACUAUUUAGCAAAUCAAACAUCUAAUACAUAAAUUUUGAGGAGAAAUUCCUUAUGAUAGCUUUUUUUAAGUUUUUGUCACAAAAAUAGCCCUCAAUGAAGAAAAUGACCAAAAUAAGUUUUAUUAAAAAGUAAAAAUGUGUUUUUAUCCUAGGGUUAACUAAUCGAGACUUAGGGUUUAGAAUUAAGGGGUGGAGUUUUUAGGGAUAGAGUUUCAAAUUUUAAAAAAUAAAAAAUAAAUAUUAAAAUUUCAAAAUUAAAAGGAACUAUUUUGGUCAUUUUCUUUUUUUUAGGUCGAUUUUUUGUGACAAAAGCUUAAAAAGUGAUAUUUGAAAGAAUUGCCUUAAACUGAUAUUAGGACCAAUAUGAGUCAUAAUCUCAGAUGCUCUUAAUGAGGCAAAAAAUAUUCUGGCAUACUCUUACGAAUUCUCACAUACUCUUCAUUUAUCUCAUACUCUUCAAAAACAUGGUUAAUGUCUAAAUUAUCCUUUUCGGCUAAACCAAUCAAAAUCAUUCUUGCUCCUACUCUAUCUUCUUCCUUUCUCUCUCCAUUGUAGAUCCAAACCCAGAUUUUGUUCAAACUCCAUUCAAUUUGACAUUCAUCUUCUCCAUUAAUUCAUUCGUGAAGAAUUAGAAACUUUAAUUUCAAAUUUGUGUUCAUAAUUAACUAAUUGAGAACAAUGAGUCUCGAUCUAUUUGGAUAAUCAAAAACACUGGUAUAAUUAUAAAAAAAAUCGUAUCAGAUUAUUAUUUUGAUUUAAAAAACUAAAAAACGUAGUAAAACUUGAACAAAAUGGUAUAACUAUGUAUAAUUAUGUAUAACUAUAACCGUACAACUUGGUAAAACUAUAAUGUACAACUAAGUGAAACUGUGUAACUAGAUAAAAUGGUACUAACUAAAUUGUAUAACUUGAUAUAACUAUAUUGGUAAAUCUAACUUGGUAAAAUUUUAUGGUUAAGUCGUGAAAGUUCAUCUAACUUGAUGUUAAUCAUUUUGAUUUUUACAUGAGACUACGAGUUCUUUCACAAACAUACACUUUGAUUAUUAAAAAUACUAUUAUAAAGCCGGAGAUGGUCAUGAAUGGAUGAAGGUAGUUUGUAUGCUAGUACAAAGAGGUAAAAUUUGAGUUAUAUUUUAUUGGUAGUAAAACCUAAGAGGCCAUUGAAAAAGCAUAAUGAUAUCUUAAGGUGACUGAGCCAGUGGAAGAUGUUGUUAUUAGAGAUAGAGAUAAUGUAGGUAUUGAUUUGGAUAACGUGGAGACAUGUGAAAAAUUUAGUUGAUUAAGCAUCACACUAUAUCUGUUUUGAAUUUAUUAUUUUGAACUCUGAACUCCGAAUAUUAAGAAUUCUGAUUUAUUUUGAUUAAAGUAUACAUAAAAUGCAUAUUUGCUUUUGAAAAAGUUUAAAUUCAGGAACCAUAAGGAAAUGCACACCAGGAUUAGUUGCAUCUAUUAUUCUAUAUGAUUCUUCAAGACGAUAAAAAAACUAAAUAAAACUUAGUAAAACUGAUAAAAUACAAAAAAAUUGAAGAUACAAAAUUCUAAACUUGUUUGGUUGUUUACAAGCAUUAUGUUUAUUAUUUGUUAGUAUUUUCUGAUUUAAAUUCAAAAUAAUUAUAUUCAAAAUUUUCAUCACAUAGUUGUAUACUAUUCAUAAUAGAAGAAAUACAAUGUUCUUUUAUGCUUUUUUCUUAGUAUUGACCUGGCGACAUUACAAAACCUGUAUACGCCACGAAACUAAUUAUAUUACAACAUGAUUUGAUGGGAAAUGAUUGUAGGAGACUAAAUAUAAAUGGUAUAACUAUAAUAUAAAUCUUUUGAGUACAGUAAAACUAAAAAAAUGUAAAAAAUAGAAAAUUAAAACUUUGAAGCUUUUUGUAAAACUACAAACUUGGUAAACUUCGACCCCAAAAAUGCUGUAAAAAAAUUUCCCGCCCAAAUUUCAGAAUUUUUCCUCCCAAAAUUUUCUUUUUUUCCAGACCUCAAAAACGAAGUUAGUAACUAUAAUUGCUUUAAUUUUUAGGGUUUCUCAUUUCUACUAUCUUCUCAAUCUUCUCAAUCCAUUUUCUCUCAUCCCAUUUCUCAUUUUUUAUCUUUCUUCACAUACUCUGCAAUUUUUAGGUUUUUGCUGUAGUGACGACACGUGUCCACAAGACAGCAAAACUCUGAGUUUCAUUUAAGUUGGUGCGUGAUAUAUGUGGGCUUAUAUUUGUUGUCGGGAUUUAUGUCCUGCUUACUACAACCAGGCCGAUGAAGAGGAAAUUCAUGUGUUUCGAAACGCGUCGUUUAAGAGUUUAGGGUUGUGUCGUCUCCUCCAAUACGAGAUCUACUCACAAACUAUGGUUUCGAGAGCGGUGUUUCAUAUUCUUCUUAACACUCCGAAAAACUUUCAGUUACAGAUUCAUCUUAUUAAUGUCCUUCUUAAAUCCAUCACCCACCUCCGAUCUACUUUCAAUGCGAGCUUCACUCAAGCAAGGCGGUGGAACUGCGACUAUAAAAAGGUAAGCUCUCCGACUCUGAGAACCAUCUCCUUAUUCCGUCCAGGUUAUGACUUUAUCAAAGAUUAUAAAACAAGUGAUAUUUAUUGUUUGGGGGACUUUCUCAUGUGUGAGAUAAACUGUUAGUUCCGUUUCUUUUCCCCUCCUCUCCGAGUUAAUUAGGCCUUUUGCUUCAAUUGGGAUUUUUUGGUUCCUAAUAUGGCGUGAUUGUUAAGAUGUUGGGGACUUUAUUGGUUAUAUAUUGCUUAAAUAUGGUAGAAAAAGAAUUAGAUUCAUUGUUAAUGUCUGACAAUUUUGGUUUUGUUUAUUGAGAUUUUUUUUUUAUUAUAAAUUCGUCUAUUGGCUCUGGAAAUUAUAAUUGGUUGCAGGAAAAAGAAAAGGUUACAGAUAUCAGAACUGGUGCAGCUAAACUUAAAGAAGAUAGCGAAGCCGACUUCCAUGGAGCAGCUACUGUAAGAAACUGCUUACAUUUUUGUUUGUUUUUUCAUGUGAAAGAGGAUAAUUACUAUUGAAAUCAACUUUUUUGGUGAUACCAUUAGAUCUUGCUUAAGUUUUUCCACCAAUCUUACAAAAGAGAAUUGGAUGCCUGAUAGAUGAUGUGUGUGACAUGCUUAUCUAUUAACAUUAUUCAUUUUGGCCAAUUAAGAACAUUGUGAAUGCUAAACUGGCCAAAGAUUUCCAAUCAGUUCUCAAAGAGUUUCAGAAAGCUCAGAGACUUGCAGCUGAAAGAGAAAUUAGAUAUACUCAUGUGGUCACUAAAGAUAUACCUACCAGUUAUAAUGCACAGGAACUGGAUAUUGAAUCUUUAAGGACCUCAUAGGAGCAAGUUCUUCUCCUACAAUAAAAAAGAUGAUAUCAGCUUUAACAUUGAUAACUCACAUGCUGCAACUCAGAAAAGCAUCUAAAACUCAAAGCAAAUUCAUCCUUGACAUGACAUCUUAUUCACCCAAGUAGAGUCGAGGAAACUAUGCAAAUUACCACAUUAAAGAUAUAUAUAUAUAUAUAUAUAAUCAUUGUACAGAUUCUUUGUACUGUAUCUUCCUUAAUCCCUUGCAAUCGAAUUGAAUCUAAGCAUUUAUGUAUUAAACCAUCUUAAUGAAUAUUUAUAGCAAAAUAUACGAACAUGUUAUGGAUAAUGUCGUAUUAGUUAUUUUGCUCGAGUCGGUCAGGAACCAAAGAUUAUCAUAGUGGGUGAUAACUGAACAUGAAAAAGGCUGUUUUAACACAAACAAAAUGUAAGCAAUAACAACACGAAGAAUACAGUCUCUAAAAAAGACUAUUCACAAGUAUAUUUAUAGAUCCAUGAUGAAGGCAAAAGUAUAUCAAUAAAUAUUAUAAUAUUUUAUUAGUUUAUAAUUUCUUUUAAAAAAUAUACUGUAUAUAUACUAAUUAAAUUAUAAAACUAAUUUGCCGUAUAUAUACUAAUUAAAUUAGAAAAUUAAUUUUUAUUAUAUUAUUUGGUGUAUUUUUUUUUGGUGAGCCGAUUCUCCGAAGAGCACUUCCGUCUGUCUGGAUCUGAUCUAUAUUAGAGUAAAUAUAAUCUUUGGUUCUUGCUUCUCUCGCUAGCAAAUCCGUCCGACCAUUCCGACUCUGAAUAAUAUGAAUCAUAUUUACAUACUCAAAGUUUUUCUGAUACAAACAAAUAUUUUGUAUCAUUUAUUAAUAAGUGUUUUUAAUUGAUAUUAUUUAUUUUUUUGAUACUAUUUAUGUGAUAUAAUAUGAUCUUUUUUUUGAAGUGUAUCUUACACAUUUUUCAAAAAUGCAAACCUAAAACAUAAACCACAAAAAAUAAUAACCUACAGUUUCCUUUGCUUUCGUUUUGCUUGAAAGUGGGGUUUAGGGUUUUAUUUAUGGGCUUCUUUCUUAUUUUCUUGUGCUGUUAAAAAAACAACGUACGCCUCUUGCAUUCAUCUUCUUCAAGAAUGGGGAUGUCGACAUCUAGGGUUCAUCGUUCUGCGAUCUCUGUCUAACUCAAGCAACAAUGGUGUCCUCGAGAGGGUUCUUCAUGGUGAAUCUAUGAAUCGAAACCGUUUCGUCUUAGAUUCAUCUCGUACAAACCGUAUGGAAUGCAUUGAUUCAUCGUCAUUAACUACCGUCUUAACUCCUUUGACCCAAUCCAAACAAGAUUCCUCAUUCAAUUCAUCUUCCCUCUUCACAAGGCGGUGGCUCUAUAGCGUUAGCUUUCACGUAAACAUCAUUUUUAGAAAUCCUAAAAAUACUAGAAACUAUUCAUUAUGUACGGACCCCUCGCCAAAUCUUAUUGUUUCUCCCGAUACCCAAAUUCUCUCAAUCAUACGUUAGGUAUGAUUUUGAAAUGUUUUAUCUGGAACAAGGUUUUCACCUCUUUUCAUUUUGAAAACUGUAAACAUUAGAUGAGUCAUUCGAUAUUUUGAUACGCUGAAUAACAUUUAGGGUCGCACUGUUUUACUAAUUACCGAGGAAAUUAAAUCAUAGAUUCUCUGCUUCUGUUGAUUUUAGGAGCUUUAAAAUCGUGAUUAGCAUUUAUUGGUUCUGAAAAUUUCCAGAAUUUGUGAUCUGAUACCUAGAAAAAUCGAUACAUUUAAUUUCACUUUGAUUAUGAGUUGAGAGUGCUGAUUUUUCCAGAUAAACAGUCUGUUUUAUUCUCUGCUGUUUGUUUGGCAUGAACAAUAUUGUUAGCAUAGUGAUUUGAUUAUUGUAAUCAACUUUAUGUUAUCCCAGGAAGAAAAAGAUAGAGAAAGUGGGGGAAGAGUCAUUGGGGGAUGAAUCUGUAAAGAGUAUAUGACAUCAAGUAUAACUAAGAAAACGGAAACGCCUAAAACUGCAAACACGGAUGAAGAGUCGUUAUAGAAUGGUACUUGCUCUCAAGAGGCGAAGCUAAAGGAACCGGAGAAAAUUAUGCAUUGCCUGCGAUUCAACAGUAUGGGGACCAAGCUCUGCUACUACAACUGGUAUGCAAGAAAUGUCAGAGGUAUUGGACAGCUGGUGGAAAGAUGAGGUACGUUCUGGUCGGUGCAGGGAGACACAAGAACAAGAAUCUGGCUUCUCAUAAUAACUGUAAUGUAAGUAUAACAUCUGCAGAAACCGAUCUUCAACAUCCUUACGGCACCAAUCUCCUCCACAUUUUGGCUCUGAUUCAGUCCUCUGCGAAUCAAUGGCAUCAGGGUUGAAUCUUUCUUCAAAUCAAUGCUAGAGACACAAACCAGGUUGCAAGAAUCCUAUAAAGAAUUGCAGAUUACGGUU